Molecule: unclassified non-coding RNA, 329 nt
Filed under: soil metagenome
Description: partial contains 5.8S ribosomal RNA, internal transcribed spacer 2, and large subunit ribosomal RNA
Rfam family: 5.8S ribosomal RNA (bases 1-120)
Source: RNAcentral
GAUGAAGAACGUAGCGAAAUGCGAUAAGUAAUGUGAAUUGCAGAAUUCAGUGAAUCAUCGAAUCUUUGAACGCACAUUGCGCCCUCUGGUAUUCCGGGGGGCAUGCCUGUUCGAGCGUCAUUAUAACCACUCAAGCUCUCGCUUGGUAUUGGGGCUCGCGGUUCCGCGGCCCCUAAAAUCAGUGGCGGUGCCUGUCGGCUCUACGCGUAGUAAUACUCCUCGCGAUUGAGUCCGGUAGGUCUACUUGCCAGCAACCCCCAAUUUUUACAGGUUGACCUCGGAUCAGAUAGGGAUACCCGCUGAACUUAAGCAUAUCAAUAAGCGGAGGA